AGAGGAAGGUCCCCCACAUUGGAACUGAGACACGGUCCAAACUCUACGGGAGGCAGCUAGUGAGGAAUAUUGGUCAAUGGGCGAGAGCCUGAACCAGCCAAGUAGCGUGAAGGAUGACUGCCCUAUGGGUUGUAAACUUCUAUUAUAAAGGAAUUAAAGUCGGGUAUGGAUACCCCGUUUGCAUGUACUUUAUGAAUAAGGAUCGGCU
This 208-nucleotide ribosomal RNA is filed under the name uncultured Bacteroidota bacterium. Its description in RNAcentral is "uncultured Bacteroidetes bacterium partial 16S ribosomal RNA". It matches the Rfam family "Bacterial small subunit ribosomal RNA", at positions 295 to 498 of the family's 1533-position model. Lineage: Bacteria; Pseudomonadati; Bacteroidota. The record is from RNAcentral.